GGGACACGUGGGUACUACCUGAUGAAAUAAGGAAGACACGUGCACCCGACUCGACCGCCAGUGUGGGAUCUAAAUACGUCUAUAAAGUUAACGACAGGGUUAAGAUUUGUUGGGCUAAUUCGUGGUAUACUGGAUAUGUACUGGAAGAAGGACCACACGUUUCAUUCAAGAUACACUACAAUGGUUGGAACAACUCCUAUGACGAGAGUGUAGAUCUGUCAGUGUGUAAGCGCAGCAAUGGAAUCGCGAUUAAAAGCGAGAACGAGGUGAACGAAGGCGACAAACUACAGGUGUUAUGGGGCGGUACCUGGUACGAAAGCCACUGUUCUCAAAAUCAUGACUUCCGUGUGCAAAGUUCGCUACGAUUCUUAUGGGCCAAGCUGGGACACCUGGUGUACUGCAGAUGAAGUGAAACCUGCAAGUAACUGAUUAUUGGAAAUGUAACCCGGAUCACAGUCCCUCUACACUGAGCAUUAGUCACUUCAUAUUGUUCUCCCCACUCCGGACGG
Molecule: long non-coding RNA, 509 nt
Organism: Saccoglossus kowalevskii
Lineage: Eukaryota; Metazoa; Hemichordata; Enteropneusta; Harrimaniidae
Source: RefSeq, a predicted model, not a curated record